AGCACUAGAGAUUACAGAGGCCUCCAUUCAUCAAAGAGUGCUUCUCCAGAAGGAGAUCUCCAUAAAAAAGGCUGGAUUGUAGGAGACUCUCAAGAAGCUAGGGCUCUAGGAAAAAUCUAUUAUGUAAUAAAACCUAGUCAUUUAUUAAUGACACUUAUGAAUGAUAAGUUAUAUUUAUUUCUGCCAUUUUCGCCUCAUUCAAACAUUACAGAUAAGCAGAACAGACAAAAUGAACCACAUAUAUACAUCAACUAUUCAAAAGUCAAGCAAUUGUUC
Molecule: long non-coding RNA, 276 nt
Filed under: Prunus persica (peach)
Lineage: Eukaryota; Viridiplantae; Streptophyta; Magnoliopsida; Rosales; Rosaceae
Description: long non-coding RNA (PPER_LNC006499)
Source: RNAcentral